GCUUCGAACUGGGGGUGCCGCUGUGCAGCUGAGAUUGAGUACCCGCACUCAAAACCCCUGUACCUGAUCUGGGUUAUGCCAGCGUAGGGAAGUUCGAGCACUUGUGC
Molecule: non-coding RNA, 107 nt
Organism: Aneurinibacillus migulanus
Lineage: Bacteria; Bacillati; Bacillota; Bacilli; Caryophanales; Paenibacillaceae
Source: Rfam